This 469-nucleotide ribosomal RNA is filed under the name uncultured bacterium. RNAcentral's name for it is "partial 16S ribosomal RNA". It matches the Rfam family "Bacterial small subunit ribosomal RNA", at positions 28 to 507 of the family's 1533-position model. The record is from RNAcentral.
GACGAACGCUGGCGGCGUGCUUAACACAUGCAAGUCGAACGGUGAAGCGAGUGCUUGCACUCGUGGAUCAGUGGCGAACGGGUGAGUAACACGUGAGUAACCUGCCCAUCACUCUGGGAUAAGCACUGGAAACGGUGUCUAAUACUGGAUACGACCAACCCUUGCAUGGGGUGUUGGUGGAAAGAUUUAUCGGUGAUGGAUGGACUCGCGGCCUAUCAGCUUGUUGGCGGGGUAAUGGCCCACCAAGGCGACGACGGGUAGCCGGCCUGAGAGGGUGACCGGCCACACUGGGACUGAGACACGGCCCAGACUCCAACGGGAGGCAGCAGUGGGGAAUAUUGCACAAUGGGCGAAAGCCUGAUGCAGCGACGCCGCGUGAGGGAUGACGGCCUUCGGGUUGUAAACCUCUUUCAGCAGGGAAGAAGCGAAAGUGACGGUACCUGCAGAAGAAGCACCGGCUAACUACGUG